RNAcentral lists this ribosomal RNA (460 nucleotides) under uncultured bacterium. RNAcentral describes it as "partial 16S ribosomal RNA". It matches the Rfam family "Bacterial small subunit ribosomal RNA", at positions 338 to 795 of the family's 1533-position model. The record is from RNAcentral.
CCUACGUGUGGCAGCAGUGAGGAAUAUUGGUCAAUGGACGCGAGCCUGAACCAGCCAAGUAGCGUGAAGGAUGACUGCCCUACGGGUUGUAAACUUCUUUUAUAAAGGAAUACAGUGAGGCACGUGUGCCUUUUUGUCUGUAAUUUAUGAUUAAGGAUCGGCUAACUCCGGGCCAGCAGCCGCGGUAAUACGGAGGAUCCGAGCGUUAUCCGUAUUUAUUGGGGUUAAAGGGAGGGGAGAUGGGUUGUUAAGGCAGUUGUGAAAGUUUGCGGGUGAAGCGUAAGAUUGCAAUUGAUACUGGCAGACUUGAGUACAGUUGGGGUAGGCGGAAUUCGUGGUGUAGCGGUGAAAUGCUGAGAUAUCACGAAGAACUCCGAUGGCGAAGGCAGCUUACUAACCUGCCACUGACAUUGAGGCUCGAAAGUGUGGGUAGCAAACAGGAUUAGAUACCCUAGUAGUC